RNAcentral lists this ribosomal RNA (419 nucleotides) under bacterium. RNAcentral describes it as "partial 16S ribosomal RNA". It matches the Rfam family "Bacterial small subunit ribosomal RNA", at positions 355 to 776 of the family's 1533-position model. The record is from RNAcentral.
UGGGGGAUAUUGCACAAUGGGCGAAAGCCUGAUGCAGCGACGCCGCGUGGGGGAUGAAGGCCUUCGGGUUGUAAACUUCUUUUGCUCUGAACAAGGCAUGCUAAUGGGUGUGUUGAGUGUAGGGGUUGAUUAGCGCCGGCUAACUACGUGCCAGCAGCCGCGGUAAUACGUAGGGCGCGAGCGUUGUCCGGAAUUAUUGGGCGUAAAGGGCUUGUAGGUGGCUGGUUGCGUCUGUCGUGAAAGCUCAUGGCUUAACUGUGGGAUUGCGGUGGGUACGGGCUGGCUUGAGUGCAGUAGGGGAGGCUGGAAUUCCUGGUGUAGCGGUGGAAUGCGCAGAUAUCAGGAGGAAUACCGGUGGCGAAGGCGGGUCUCUGGGCUGUUACUGACACUGAGGAGCGAAAGCAUGGGGAGCGAACAGG